Molecule: microRNA precursor, 93 nt
Filed under: Acanthisitta chloris (rifleman)
Lineage: Eukaryota; Metazoa; Chordata; Aves; Passeriformes; Acanthisittidae
Description: mir-1467 microRNA precursor family
Rfam family: mir-1467 microRNA precursor family
Source: Rfam by way of RNAcentral
CGGGUCAGGUUUUUUUCUCAGCUACAUCGGUGUAAAUCCAGAGUAACUCCACUGAGAUUCACACCAGAGUAACUGAGAGCAGAAUCUGGCCAA